UACGUAGGGUGCAAGCGUUGUCCGGAAUUAUUGGGCGUAAAGAGCUCGUAGGCGGCUCGUUGCGUCGGCUGUGAAAACCCGCAGCUCAACUGUGGGCUUGCAGCUGAUACGGGCGGGCUGGGAUUCGGUAGGGGAGACUGGAAUUCCUGGUGUAGCGGUGAAAUGCGCAGAUAUCAGGAGGAACACCGGUGGCGAAGGCGGGUCUCUGGGCAAUAACUGACGCUGAGGAGCGAAAGCGUGGGGAGCGAACAGG
Molecule: ribosomal RNA, 253 nt
Filed under: uncultured bacterium
Lineage: Bacteria
Description: partial 16S ribosomal RNA
Rfam family: Bacterial small subunit ribosomal RNA
Source: RNAcentral